GCGGGAAAAGCUCAAAUUUAAAAUCUGGCGGUCUCUGGCCGUCCGAGUUGUAAUCUAGAGAAGUAAUGCCCGCGCUGGACCGUGUACAAGUCUCCUGGGAUGGAGCAUCAUAGAGGGUGAGAAUCCCGUCUCUGACACGGACUACCAGGGCUUUGUGGUAUGCUCUCAAAGAGUCGAGUUGUUUGGGAAUGCAGCUCAAAAUGGGUGGUAAAUUCCAUCUAAAGCUAAAUAUUGGCGAGAGACCGAUAGCGAACAAGUACCGUGAGGGAAAGAUGAAAAGAACUUUGGAAAGAGAGUUAAACAGUACGUGAAAUUGCUGAAAGGGAAACGCUUGAAGUCAGUCGCGUUGGCCAGGAAUCAGCCUCGCUUUUGCGUGGUGUACUUUCUGGUUGAUGGGUCAGCAUCAAUUUUGACCACUGGAAAAAGGCCUGGGGAAUGUGGCAGCUUCGGCUGUGUUAUAGCCCCUGGUUGCAUACAGUGGUUGGGAUUGAGGAACUCAGCACGCCGCAAGGCCGGGUUUCGACCACGUUCGUGCUUAGGAUGCUGGCAUAAUGGCUUUAAGCGACCCGUCUUGAAACACGGACCAAGGAGUCUAACAUGCCUGCGAGUAUUUGGGUGGAAAACCCGAGUGCGUAAUGAAAGUGAAAGUUGAGAUCCCUGUCGUGGGGAGCAUCGACGCCCGGACCAGAACUUUUGGGACGGAUCCGCGGUAGAGCAUGUAUGUUGGGACCCGAAAGAUGGUGAACUAUGCCUGAAUAGGGUGAAGCCAGAGGAAACUCUGGUGGAGGCUCGUAGCGAUUCUGACGUGCAAAUCGAUCGUCAAAUUUGGGUAUAGGGGCGAAAGACUAAUCGAACCAUCU
Molecule: ribosomal RNA, 860 nt
Filed under: Chlorophyllum lusitanicum
Lineage: Eukaryota; Fungi; Basidiomycota; Agaricomycetes; Agaricales; Agaricaceae
Description: eukaryotic LSU rRNA
Rfam family: Eukaryotic large subunit ribosomal RNA
Source: RNAcentral